AUACAUGUUUAUGGAAUGCCUAAAUUCAUCUACUGUCCCUCGGAUAUCAAACUGCUGCCCUUCCUGAAUUAUCUCCCCUUGUUUCCUCUGCAAGCCCAUAAAAAAAGCACAAUGGGCACAUGGUUUGGAGGCAUCCACGUACUCAUGAGGGUAUGGAUGACACUGCAACUUCCCAUACGUGUCUCGCUCAAUCAUAAGAGUCAACUGCCUCAACCGGGAUUCCACCCAGCCUUUCCAAGAACGCAAGUCAUCAACAUCGGCUGCGACUAUGUC
RNAcentral lists this unclassified non-coding RNA (273 nucleotides) under Hevea brasiliensis (rubber tree). The record is from RNAcentral. Lineage: Eukaryota; Viridiplantae; Streptophyta; Magnoliopsida; Malpighiales; Euphorbiaceae.